UUUACGAUCUGGAGAACAACCUUAGUGACGAAGAGAUCACAUGGUUCAAAGAAAACUCCUCGAUUGAGAUCACCACUGACGAAAAUGAGAACGUGCAUUACCACGGUGGAGCCCUCUUUUUCUUAAAUCUUCUCACUGAGCACUCUGGCCUUUACACUGCCCGGCAUAAAGACCCAUCAGGGGAGUGUUACAACUAUUUUUUUUAAGUUGUCGUCUUCAAAGACGGCCCUAUGACGAACAAGAAACUCUUAUACGCAGAUAUCAAAAACUCGGACAUAAGCAAAAGGGUUACAUGUCCACGUCCUGUCGACCACACAUGUAGCGAGUUGAAAGGAAACUUCACCUGGAACAAGGACAACAAGCCCCUUCCAGGUUACCAUGAAGUUGACUUUAGUAUAGAUAAUGCUAAACCAAAAGACAAGGGAAUAUACACUUGCAUUUGUACCUGGACACACAAUAACAAGGAGUACAUGUCGUCAGGAUCCAGGAGACUACAAGUUGACGGUGAGAGAGCAUUUCCAGAUGUGUAUCGGUCUUUAGUUGGGGAAGUGGGAAUCAAAAGGAGGACAUGAGAUCAGCUUGUUAGUCAACUUACC
Long non-coding RNA from Cottoperca gobio, 596 nucleotides. NCBI's taxonomy places the organism in Eukaryota, Metazoa, Chordata, Actinopteri, Perciformes, Bovichtidae. The record is from Ensembl.